Molecule: ribosomal RNA, 490 nt
Filed under: uncultured bacterium
Lineage: Bacteria
Description: partial 16S ribosomal RNA
Rfam family: Bacterial small subunit ribosomal RNA
Source: RNAcentral
AGUGAACGCUGGCGGUAGGCCUAACACAUGCAAGUCGAACGGCAGCACAGUAAGAGCUUGCUCUUACGGGUGGCGAGUGGCGGACGGGUGAGGAAUACAUCGGAAUCUACUUUUUCGUGGGGGAUAACGUAGGGAAACUUACGCUAAUACCGCAUACGACCUACGGGUGAAAGCAGGGGAUCUUCGGACCUUGCGCGAUUGAAUGAGCCGAUGUCGGAUUAGCUAGUUGGCGGGGUAAAGGCCCACCAAGGCGACGAUCCGUAGCUGGUCUGAGAGGAUGACCAGCCACACUGGAACUGAGACACGGUCCAGACUCCUACGGGAGGCAGCAGUGGGGAAUAUUGGACAAUGGGCGCAAGCCUGAUACAGCCAUACCGCGUGGGUGAAGAAGGCCUUCGGGUUGUAAAGCCCUUUUGUGGGGAAAGAAAAGCAGCAGGUUAAUACCCCGCUGUUCUGACGGUACCCAAAGAAUAAGCACCGGCUAACUUCG